RNAcentral lists this non-coding RNA (77 nucleotides) under Gloeocapsa sp. PCC 73106. The record is from RNAcentral. Lineage: Bacteria; Bacillati; Cyanobacteriota; Cyanophyceae; Chroococcidiopsidales; Chroococcidiopsidaceae.
AGGAGCCGUGUGAGGUGAAAGUCUCAAGCACGGUUCUGAAGACAAGUCGAAUGGGUGACCGUUCGGCUUAGUUUAAC